This 481-nucleotide ribosomal RNA is filed under the name Neochoroterpes oklahoma. RNAcentral describes it as "eukaryotic LSU rRNA". Lineage: Eukaryota; Metazoa; Arthropoda; Insecta; Ephemeroptera; Leptophlebiidae. The record is from RNAcentral.
AAGGUCGAAAGGGGAGAUUCAGUAUCCGUUCCUCGCGGCCGCUCCCCGUCGCGGGUACAACUCCGGUCGGACCCCUCGCGGGGUUGGACCGGGGCCCGCGGCGGGGUCUCGCGCGCCGGAGGCGGAGCGCACUUCUCCCCGAGUAGGACGCCGCGACCCGCUGGGCGUCUGUCUGAGGCCCGGGUGCGAGUCCGGUUCGCCCCUCGGGGCGGCCCGGAGCCCCGGUGUCCCGGCAGUCUGCCCGGCGGUCUUGAGUACGGAGCUGGCCCGCGAACUCGCUUCGCGCCCGCGACCCUGGCGAGCGACGGCCGGUACCCGUCAGGCGGACUCGUCCGCCGCGGGCCGGCCGGCGUUGUCGGCCAGGGAUCCGCUCGGGCAGCGGUCACGCUAAAUCCCGUCUGCGGCGCUCAAAGCUGGGCGGCCCACCCGACCCGUCUUGAAACACGGACCAAGGAGUCUAACAUGUGCGCGAGUCAUUGGG